RNAcentral lists this ribosomal RNA (737 nucleotides) under Candidatus Synechococcus spongiarum. Its description in RNAcentral is "bacterial SSU rRNA". It matches the Rfam family "Bacterial small subunit ribosomal RNA", at positions 796 to 1533 of the family's 1533-position model. The record is from RNAcentral. Lineage: Bacteria; Bacillati; Cyanobacteriota; Cyanophyceae; Synechococcales; Synechococcaceae.
CUGGCCGUAAACGAUGAACACUAGAUGUUGGGGGAAUCGACCCCCUCGGUGUCGUAGCUAACGCGUUAAGUGUUCCGCCUGGGGAGUACGCACGCAAGUGUGAAACUCAAAGGAAUUGACGGGGGCCCGCACAAGCGGUGGAGUAUGUGGUUUAAUUCGAUGCAACGCGAAGAACCUUACCAAGGCUUGACAUCCUGCGAAUCUCCAAGAAAUUGGAGAGUGCCUUUUGGAACGCAGUGACAGGUGGUGCAUGGCUGUCGUCAGCUCGUGUCGUGAGAUGUUGGGUUAAGUCCCGCAACGAGCGCAACCCACGUUUUUAGUUGCCAGCAUUCAGUUGGGCACUCUAGAAAGACUGCCGGUGACAAACCGGAGGAAGGUGUGGACGACGUCAAGUCAUCAUGCCCCUUACGCCUUGGGCUACACACGUACUACAAUGCUGCAGACAAAGAGUAGCGAUCUUGCGAAAGUUAGCUAAUCUCGUAAACCGUGGCUCAGUUCAGAUCGUAGGCUGCAACUCGCCUACGUGAAGGAGGAAUCGCUAGUAAUCGCAGGUCAGCAUACUGCGGUGAAUACGUUCCCGGGCCUUGUACACACCGCCCGUCACACCAUGGAAGUUGGCCAUGCCCGAAGUCGUUACUCUAACCUUUUGGAAGAGGGCGCCGAAGGCAGGGCUAAUGACUGGGGUGAAGUCGUAACAAGGUAGCCGUAGCGGAAGCUGCGGCUGGAUCACCUCCUAA